Molecule: long non-coding RNA, 1655 nt
Organism: Pogonomyrmex barbatus (red harvester ant)
Lineage: Eukaryota; Metazoa; Arthropoda; Insecta; Hymenoptera; Formicidae
Source: RefSeq, a predicted model, not a curated record
CAGCCAAGUGCAUAUUAGUACCAGGCAGCCGCGAGCGUCACGCAUUCGCCGGCGAGCGCUCGCUGAGAGUAGAGAGGUGUUGCGAGGUGUGUGCCGCGCGUUUACUUACUCUCUCUCUCUUUCUCUCUCUCUCUCUUUCUCUCUCUCUGUCUGUCUUUCUCUUUCAUAUCGAGUGAUACGGCCCACGCGGUGUUGUGCAUCGCCCGUCCGAAAUUCACGAUCCUCGUGGAAAUUGGAAAUCCUUCUCGCUGAUCCGAGCCCUCGGAGCCGGAGCUUUUGUUUCAAUAAUCGCGCGCGAUUCUUCUCGACGAUUGUCGUCGUCGAACUUGUUCAGUGCGAGCUCCGAUAAGUUGUGGACACUGAGCCUCGAGAGACGUGAAGUAUCGAGAUCUUGAAAUAAUCGUGAAGUGGUGCUCGAGAGUUCAGCCUUCAGUGUGGUUCUCGGAUUUCUAAAUAUUUACAGCGGCUGUAGAUUGUCGAGUCGUAAUCGGUUUUUGAUUGCUGCUGAAUUCUAGCUGCUCCGACCGUAAUUGCGCAAGUGUAAUCGUUAAGAUACGCCAGCGUAGAGCCGGCCGUCGCGGGACGAGCGGCUCGUUCGGAAAUCAUCCUUGUUUUCGAAGGCGCGAAAAAGGAGAGGACCGGCUCCAUAACUCCAAAUCACGGGACGAGUCAUCAAGGUUCGGUGUUUCGGUGUAAAUAUCAGAGAGGAAGAAAGAUACGAGAAAGACUCGAAGAGGAAGAAAGACUUUCUUCACAUUCUUGUGCGAUAAAGAAAAGCUGGAGUUAAUCAGCGCAUAAAGCAGCGAGGCAUUGACUCUUGAAGACAGAGAAAGAAAGAGAAGAUUGACAGUCAGCGGAUCAGCUGAUUCUCGGCUUCCGCUUAUAAAAAUAAAUAUCGCAAGUGGUAUCACUUCGGAUAAGUGAUAAGUGAAAGGAAAUUGAGGUCUGACUGAUGUGUGACUAUUAUCGAAUAAUCGGAGAACGAUUAAACACAAAGAUAUUAUCCUAGGAUAAACGUUUUCCUAGGCUUGGAGUCUUGGUGUGUCGACGGUGGAAGGAGAAAAGGGAAACGAGAGGGAAACGAACGAAGCUGCAUCACUGGUGGGACUCGUCACCUUCAAACUAGCGGGGAUUCGCGAUAAGAUAGCGACGGUCGUUCGCCGUUAAUAAACAAUCGCGUUCGACGAGGGGAACAGGUUGCGAUUCCCGGACGGAGGACGCCUCGGGAAAGGAGCUCGCGGAGCUUGAUUCGGAGCUUCGAGGUGAUUCAUUCGCGCGAGAGUUGCGCAAGAGCGACGUGUUGUCGCGCGGCUGGGAAAAGGGGGCUGUGUUACUCAACUCACGCGCGAUUUUAUCCCGCCCGCUUUAAAGGAUCCCGCGCGAGGAAGAGUCGCGGCUCGCGACGUGCCAGGCGGACGCGGUUUACAUUCGUUCGUUCAGGACGAGAAAACGGGACGAGCGGCGGCUGCCUGUUCGUCGUCGCCACGAUUUCCUCCGAGUCGCCGGGAAUUAGUCGCGGGGAAGGCUCUAAUUAACGCUGCCAUUAAUAGCUCCGUAUCUCCGUAGUGGUAACGACUUCACAACCGAUGAUUAAUAGAUAAUCGCCGAUUAAAUAUCUGGUCGAGAGUGAGAAGGGGUGCUCUUGCUGUUUCUUU